CCUACUGGCGGCAGCAGUGGGGAAUAUUGGACAAUGGGGGGAACCCUGAUCCAGCGACGCCGCGUGAGUGACGAAGUAUUUCUGUAUGUAAAGCUCUAUCAGCAGGGCAGAAAAUGCCGGUACCUGACUACGAAGCCACGGCUAACUACGUGCAAGCAGCCGCGGUAAUACGUAGGGGGAAUGCGUUAUCCGGAUUUCCUGGGUGGAAAGGGAGCGUAGACGGUGCAGCAAGUCUGAUGUGAAAGGUCGGGGCCCAACCCCGGGACUGCAUUGGACACUGGUGAACUGGAGUACAGGAGAGGUAAGCGGAAUGCCUAGUGUAGCGGUGAAAUGCGUAGAUAUUAGGAGGAACACUAGUGGCGAAGGCGGCUUACUGGACUGUAACUGACGUUGAGGCUCGAAAGCGUGGGGAGCAAACAGGAUUAGAUACCCUUGUAGUC
Molecule: ribosomal RNA, 440 nt
Filed under: uncultured bacterium
Lineage: Bacteria
Description: partial 16S ribosomal RNA
Rfam family: Bacterial small subunit ribosomal RNA
Source: RNAcentral